GUACCAAAAGCUGGAUUUGUGGGAAAGGUUUUUUUUUAAAUAACCUUAACCAACUUGGGCUAUUUGGCAGAAUAAAGACCACACUCCACAGUGGGCUAUACCAUUUAGUAUGGUUCAUUACUAUCUUGUGGCCUACAUU
Molecule: small nucleolar RNA, 139 nt
Organism: Mesocricetus auratus (golden hamster)
Lineage: Eukaryota; Metazoa; Chordata; Mammalia; Rodentia; Cricetidae
Source: Ensembl